Long non-coding RNA from Syngnathus acus (greater pipefish), 817 nucleotides. RefSeq lists it as uncharacterized. NCBI's taxonomy places the organism in Eukaryota, Metazoa, Chordata, Actinopteri, Syngnathiformes, Syngnathidae. The transcript is spliced from 3 exons. The record is from RefSeq and is a predicted model, not a curated record.
UAAAUAACUUUGGAAGAAUAUUGACAUAUGAUCACUUUCUUCUUAACAUCGAUCGUGGUCAUAUUAAACAAUGAUUGAUGACGUUUCUUUAACCGGAAAUGAUCACGUGACUGGCGGAAGGACACCGCGACGGAACAACGACCUAUCAAUGAGGAUCGCGGAGUGAUACACUGCCAAUAAACGAAACCACGCGACACGCGUGCGCGGAGAAGAGGAGACACUGACGACACGGCGGCACGGCCCACCAUGGUCCCGGGUUACCAGGCCACAUGGAGAGGACACGUGUCAUUUCAUCGGGAUCAUGGAAGUAGGGCUGAUCCAACUCAGUUGACGGUGGCCUCGGGCAUGGUCCAAAUUGCAGAGGAGAGUGAGCCGCGUUCUUCUUGGUCAGUUUGGGGAGAAUAUUGACACCCCCCCUUCCUGCCAAGCUGACACUGACAGUACAAGAACAAGAAGGAACAGGACUGAAUGUCCUUUCCUUCCCUGUCAAGGUGUCUACGUGCUACCAUAGCUCAGGUGUGGAUUUGAAUUCCCUGAAUUGUUCAACUCGGCAUGACAGACUCUUUUGUGCUGCUUCCUAUUGAAAGAAUACGAUGCAUGAGCAUAAAUGGCAAUAUCUCCAUAUUGUUGCUUUGAACAAGCGAUUAAGAUUGAACUGGAUUCAUGGAACCCGUGUGUGUGUGUUUGUGUGUGUGUCAUGGGAUAACCCCUGUCAGGCUUUGGCGACGUCUGAAUGCAAAGUAAUUGAGAUGAAAAGAAAAGGCCUCACCUGCAGAUAGCGUUCGAGCGGCGAGCAUUGUCCCCCCCCCCUACUCCU